This 506-nucleotide ribosomal RNA is filed under the name uncultured bacterium. RNAcentral's name for it is "bacterial SSU rRNA". It matches the Rfam family "Bacterial small subunit ribosomal RNA", at positions 8 to 526 of the family's 1533-position model. The record is from RNAcentral.
AGAGUUUGAUCAUGGCUCAGGACGAACGCUGGCGGCGUGCUUAACACAUGCAAGUCACGGGGGCCCGCAAGGGUAACCGGCGAACGGGUGCGUAACACGUGAGCGACCUGCCGAUCUCUGGGGGAUAGCCGGCCCAACGGCCGGGUAAUACCGCAUACGUCCGCUUGUGGGCAUCCACGGGCGGGGAAACCUCCGGGGGGGAUCGAGGGGCUCGCGGCCUAUCAGCUAGUUGGCGGGGUAACGGCCCACCAAGGCGACGACGGGUAGCUGGUCUGAGAGGAUGGCCAGCCACAUUGGGACUGAGAGACGGCCCAGACUCCUACGGGAGGCAGCAGUGGGGAAUCUUGCGCAAUGGGCGAAAGCCUGACGCAGCGACGCCGCGUGGGGGAGGAAGGCCUUCGGGUUGUAAACCCCUGUUGCCCGGGACGAACACGGUCUUUCGAGAUCGCUGACGGUACCGGGUGAGGAAGCACCGGCUAACUCCGUGCCAGCCGCCGCGGUAAUUC